UGCAGUCGAGCGGAUGAAGGAAGCUUGCUCCUGGAUUCAGCGGCGGACGGGUGAGUAAUGCCUAGGAAUCUGCCUGGUAUUGGGGGAUAACGUCCGGAAACGGGCGCUAAUACCGCGUACGUCCUGAGGGAGAAAGUGGGGGAUCUUCGGACCUCACGCUAUCUGAUGACCCUAAGUCGGAUUACCUAGUUGGUGGGGUAAAGGGCUACCAAGGCGACUAUCCGUAACUGGUCUGAGAGGAUGAUCAGUCACACUGGAACUGAGACCCGGUCCUGACUCCUACGGGAGGCUCCAGUGGGGAAUAUUGGACAAUGGGCGAAAGCCUGAUCCAACCAUGCCGCGUGUGUGAAGAAGGUCUUCGGAUUGUAAAGCACUUUAAGUUGGGAGGAAGGGCAGUAAGUUAAUACCUUGCUGUUUUGACGUUACCAACAGAAUAAGCACCGGCUAACUUCCUGCCAUCAGUCGCGGUAAUACGAAGGGUGCAAGCGUUAAUCGGAAUUACUGGGCGUAAAGCGCGCGUAGGUGGUUCACCAAGUUGGAUGUGAAAUCCCCGGGCUCAACCUGGGAACUGCAUCCAGAACUACUGAUCUAGAGUACGGUAGAGGGUGGUGGAAUUUCCUGUGUAGCGGUGAAAUGCGUAGAUAUAGGAAGGAACACCAGUGAGCGAAGGCGACCACCUGGACUGAUUCUGACACUGAGGUGCGAAAGCGAUGGGGCAG
RNAcentral lists this ribosomal RNA (719 nucleotides) under Pseudomonas aeruginosa. RNAcentral describes it as "bacterial SSU rRNA". It matches the Rfam family "Bacterial small subunit ribosomal RNA", at positions 56 to 770 of the family's 1533-position model. Lineage: Bacteria; Pseudomonadati; Pseudomonadota; Gammaproteobacteria; Pseudomonadales; Pseudomonadaceae. The record is from RNAcentral.